GAUGAACGCUGGCGGCGUGCCUAAUACAUGCAAGUCGAGCGAACGGACGAGAAGCUUGCUUCUCUGAUGUUAGCGGCGGACGGGUGAGUAACACGUGGAUAACCUACCUAUAAGACUGGGAUAACUUCGGGAAACCGGAGCUAAUACCGGAUGAUAUUUUGAACCGCAUGGUUCAAAAGUGAAAGACGGUCUUGCUGUCACUUAUAGAUGGAUCCGCGCUGCUUUAGCUAGUUGGUAAGGUAACGGCUUACCAAGGCAACGAUGCAUAGCCGCCCGGAGAGGGGAACGGGCCCCCUUGGAACUAGACACGGGCCCGGCCCCCAAGGGGGGGCCGAGGAAGGGAACUUUCCCGAAUGGGGCAAAGCCUGCCGGGGCAAGCCGCGGUGAGGGAUGAAGGUCUUCGGAUCGUAAGACCUUGUUAAUGUGGAAAAACAUAGUGGUAAGGGAAUGUGCACAUCUUGACGGUACCUAAUCAGAAAGCCACGGCUAACUACGUG
RNAcentral lists this ribosomal RNA (497 nucleotides) under uncultured bacterium. Its description in RNAcentral is "partial 16S ribosomal RNA". It matches the Rfam family "Bacterial small subunit ribosomal RNA", at positions 28 to 507 of the family's 1533-position model. The record is from RNAcentral.